This 295-nucleotide unclassified non-coding RNA is filed under the name Citreimonas salinaria. RNAcentral's name for it is "Long range pseudoknot". Lineage: Bacteria; Pseudomonadati; Pseudomonadota; Alphaproteobacteria; Rhodobacterales; Roseobacteraceae. The record is from RNAcentral.
ACGGACACGCACGACUACGACGUCAAGAUGCGCAACGUGCUGCGGUUCCUCGAGGCCGGCGACAAGGUGAAGAUCACGCUGCGCUUCCGCGGCCGCGAGAUGGCGCACCAGGACCUGGGUCGCGACCUGCUCGAACGCGUGGCCGAGGACGUGAAGGAACACGGCAAGAUCGAGAACAUGCCGAAGAUGGAGGGCCGGCAGAUGAUCAUGAUGAUCGGCCCCGUCACCAAAUGAACCGUUGACCGGAUAGCCGCACUUUUGCGGACCGACACGAACCAAAGGCUUGCGCCGUCGC